Cynoglossus semilaevis (tongue sole) is the source of this 71-nucleotide small nucleolar RNA. Its record names the gene SNORD30. It matches the Rfam family "Small nucleolar RNA SNORD30". Rfam says of the family: U30 is a member of the C/D class of snoRNA which contain the C (UGAUGA) and D (CUGA) box motifs. U30 is encoded within the U22 snoRNA host gene (UHG) in mammals and is thought to act as a 2'-O-ribose methylation guide for ribosomal RNA. The record is from Ensembl. Lineage: Eukaryota; Metazoa; Chordata; Actinopteri; Pleuronectiformes; Cynoglossidae.
UCUAAUGAUGAGUUACUUCUGGAAUCUCGUUCGUCUGAACAGCUGUUGAUAAAUUUUCAUAUCUGAUGUCU